Molecule: long non-coding RNA, 221 nt
Organism: Sapajus apella (tufted capuchin)
Lineage: Eukaryota; Metazoa; Chordata; Mammalia; Primates; Cebidae
Exons: 3
Source: RefSeq, a predicted model, not a curated record
UCCCAGGGCCAAGAGUAGAUGGAGCUUGUGUACUUUGCAUGCAAUAAUAAACCCCAAUAUCCUCAGCCUCCACCCUGCUGAUUUUCAGUGUGAAAUCUGUCCCUGAGCCACUGCCACUGAACCUGUCUGGGACUCCAGAGGCCCGGUUGGAAACCAAAUAGAUCAGGAGGUGUGGAGGCUGGCCUGGCUUCUGCAGGUACCAAUCCAAAUAGGUGAUUUCA